Molecule: ribosomal RNA, 1485 nt
Filed under: Triticum aestivum (bread wheat)
Lineage: Eukaryota; Viridiplantae; Streptophyta; Magnoliopsida; Poales; Poaceae
Description: partial small subunit ribosomal RNA
Source: RNAcentral
AUGUCCGAAUCAACCGGAGACCUGAAAUCGAUGCUCCAGUCGCUCUUGACGCGGUUCGAUGAAAGCAAGCUCGCGGGCGACAAGCAUCUCGAAGCGCAACUCGCGUUCAACACACAGGUGUCGUCUGAUCUGGCGCACCUCCGCAAGCAACUGGAUCUCACUCAAGCAGACGUCAACGAGGUGCGGCAGCACCGCGAUCCACCACCAUCGCCGACCGCCGCUGCGCUCCACCGACCGCACGCGGCCAACACCCAAGACGGCAAGCCCCAGGCGUGCUCAAUGACGUCCCUUGAGCAAACACGCGGCCCUCGUCCCCAAGGACCAACCGCUCAUCUCUCCAACAAAGGGCCUCCUCUGAUUCCCACGCGGCCAUCUCCGCCGUUCACGGGCACGGGCCAGGCCGCGGUCAUCACGGCGGGCCGCGGCAUCUACUAUGGGCAAACCGAGGAGUACACGGUCAAGCCCCCCAAGCAUGACUUUCCUCGCUUCGACGGCGACACGCCCAGCCUCUGGAUCGACCGCUGCAUCGCCUUGUACCGCAUACCGUCGCACAACUGGGUUACCACGGCGUUGCUCUACAUCCACGGUCACGCGGCGCACUGGUUCCAGGCAUACCGUCAGACGCACCUUGCGCCAACCUGGGAGGAGUUCACAGCAGCCCUCAACAGCGAGUUCGGUCCGGAUGAGUUCGAGGUGGAGAUGCAUAAGUUGCUGCAGCUCAGGCGGACCAGCACCAUCGCAGAGUACCGGGUGGAGUUCGAGGCCCACAUGUACCACUUGCUCACCCUCGAGGCGACGCUCAACCCCAAGCUCUUCAUCACGCGAUUCCUGUUGGGCCUGCGCGACGAUCUCUGGGCCGUGGUCCGCCUUCAGGAGCCGUCGAGCAUUACUCGUGCUGCCGUGUUAGCCAUGAUCGUGGAAGAAGAGGCGGGCAAUCAACGUGCUCGUCCGCGAAUCAUUCCCGCGAGUCGACCUCCACCACCCCUCUCGCCACACACCAUAGGCCGUGGGGGUGCCACGGCCAGGGGGCGCUGUUGUGCCCAACGACGACCUGGCACGCGAGCGCCAGCUACACGAGCAUCGGUGUGCCAAUGGCCUCUGCUUCAAAUGUGGAGAUCGGUACUCCCGCGAGCAUCGAUGCAAGGCGGCCACCCAACUGCUUACGAUCCAUGUCGGCGACUACGUCGAGGUGCUCAGCGACGACGCGGUCCACGCUUUGGACCUGCUCAACGCACCUGCACAACCAGAGCCGGCACCCGAGUGUUGCGUGCUCUCCACGCACACUGUCGCGGGGACCGAGUCACCGCAUACUAUCCGUCUACGAGCGCUCGUCGGCAACCAAGUUAUGUUGCUGUUGGUGGACUCCGGGAGCACGCACAGCUUCAUUUCCACGACAUUCGCAGACCGCAUCAAAGCAACGCCAGUCGAGGUACGCGUCGCCAACGGAGAGCGCAAUGUCCUGCAACAACAUGGUCCAAGGGUUGA